UGAGCUGUCUAAUACGGUUGGCAGACCUUCGAAUCUUGAUGGACUGAUGAAAGAAUCUGGUGCUUGUAUCACCCUCCUUGAUUCACUGCAUUCUGGAUUUUUGCCUCCAUAGCAUCUCUUGCUGUCUCAGCAAAGAAUGGUGCUCUGAGAGCUUAUGGCAAAGCUCCCUCUAGUUAGACUCUUGAACUCCUCUCAAUCCUCUCUCUUCUGC
RNAcentral lists this long non-coding RNA (211 nucleotides) under Elaeis guineensis (African oil palm). RNAcentral's name for it is "long non-coding RNA (EGUI_LNC011744)". Lineage: Eukaryota; Viridiplantae; Streptophyta; Magnoliopsida; Arecales; Arecaceae. The record is from RNAcentral.